This 440-nucleotide ribosomal RNA is filed under the name uncultured bacterium. RNAcentral's name for it is "partial 16S ribosomal RNA". It matches the Rfam family "Bacterial small subunit ribosomal RNA", at positions 338 to 795 of the family's 1533-position model. The record is from RNAcentral.
CCUACGGGUGGCAGCAGUGAGGGAUAUUGGUCAAUGGGGGAAACCCUGAACCAGCAACUCCGCGUGAGGGAAGACGGUUUUCGGGUUGUAAACCACUGUCCUCUGUGAAGAUAAUGACGGUAGCAGAGGAGGAAGCUCCGGAUAACUACGUGCCAGCAGCCGCGGUAAUACGUCGGGAGCGAGCGUUCGCCGGAUUUACUGGUUGUAAAGGUUGCGGAGGCGGCGUUGCAAGUCAGAAGUGAAAUCCCUGGGCUUAACCCGGGAACUGCUUUUGAAACUGUAGGGCUUGAGUGAAGUAGAGGCAGGCGGAAUUCCCGGUGUAGCGGUGAAAUGCGUAGAGAUCGGGAGGAACACCAGUGGCGAAGGCGGCCUGCUGGGCUUUAACUGACGCUGAAGCACGAAAGCGUGGGUAGCAAACAGGAUUAGAUACCCCUGUAGUC